GGGAAACUAAAAGCACUGUUACAUAAACAGGUGAGAAAAAGAAACUAUAGGCCUGAAUCCAAAAUAGAAACUGAGAGACAGCAGCGAACAAGCACGAAAGCUUCUAGAAAAACAGAAGAAAACCAAAAAGAUAAAAGAGCGUAACGCAAGAGCGCAUGUGUAAAAGAGCUGAUGGAAGUAAGACAAUGACUUUGGCGCCAUAAACAAUUUAAAACGCUGAUGAAAUCAUACCUGUGUUCAUGAUUUAUUUUAAAUCACACACUGACCUCCAGCACAAUAAGGAUUAAUAUAAAUAGAGAUCGCUGCUCAAUGUUGUUCUUACCUCUGAUUUUGUAAUACCCAUAGGGUGUCAAUACAACGUAUUUUCAUUGUCAUCCAUAUGACAUACAGACAAGAUGUCCAUAGAAACAUGUAUAAAAAUAACUUUCCUCCUGGCUCCCUUUAAGACGUUGUUAUGGCCAUUUUUAUAUUCAUCAUCAUAUCGUCAAAUGUGUGUUCAUGUGUACAAUUUAUCAUGUUUUAAUACAUGAUGACUCCAUUACUCUUUACACUUUUGAACAGCUGAAUCAUGAUUAAACAGUACAGAUCGUAUUGUACCCAGUGCAGCAGAGUCUCUGCCAAGGCCAGAGUCUCUGCUCACAUGCAGAUAUACACGAACGCACACACUAUCAAGGACAGAUAAGAGUGGCGCCAAAUCUUCCUCAUAAUAUAAACGUCUUCAUCAUCCUCAAAUGUUUCCACUGUUGCAUCUGACCCCCCCCUUCUCCUCUGCCUCAGGGUGGAACUUCUUAUGUUAUCUAUAUAAAAGCUUAAGCUGUGAAACGGUCAGGGGGAGCGGCUCUGCCUUCAAACGUCCGGCCGGACGGUCACUAAUUUUUGUUUCACUUUGUUCCAUCUUUGUCCUUUUUUUUUUUACUUAGUUUUAGAAUAAACUUUUUUAUAAAAUCAUCAAUGCUCCGACUGGACUCCAUCAUUCAACCAGAGCAAUAAAUCAUGUCUUCAAAUGAGGUCAACCGCAAAUUCUGCCGUAACAUUUGGAUGUUCAGAGAUAACGUGUUAAAGACGUGUUUUGGACCACUUUUUGCUCAGUGGGAAUCUUACAUUCAAAGGCAGAGUCGAGGUUAUCCGACCGUCUGGAGGUGUGUGUGGAACAGCUGGAGACUGAGAGGCACCAAACCGACCACAGCCUGUCAUAUCAGCUGAAGCUCUCUGAAGACAAAAUGGGAAAAAGAAUGACCGCCAUGGAAAAUAGCUUUCAUCAGGAGCUGCAGCUGCUCAAACAGAAACACUGCGAAGGUUGGUCCUAUCUGUAUUUACCUUGCUGUCAACAAAGAGCAAACACGCACAUAAAUAUACAUAAUUAAAACCCACAAAUAAAACAUACAAAUUAGAAACA
This 1396-nucleotide long non-coding RNA is filed under the name Gouania willdenowi (blunt-snouted clingfish). Its description in RNAcentral is "lncRNA (ENSGWIG00000026726.1)". The record is from RNAcentral. Lineage: Eukaryota; Metazoa; Chordata; Actinopteri; Blenniiformes; Gobiesocidae.